GAUCCUGGCUCAGGAUGAACGCUGGCGGCGUGCUUAACACAUGCAAGUCGAACGAAGCAAUCUAACGGAAGUUUUCGGAUGGAAGCUAGAUUGACUGAGUGGCGGACGGGUGAGUAACGCGUGGGUAACCUGCCUCACACUGGGGGACAACAGUUAGAAAUGACUGCUAAUACCGCAUAAGCGCACGGGACCGCAUGGUCCAGUGUGAAAAACUCCGGUGGUGUGAGAUGGACCCGCGUUUG
This 242-nucleotide ribosomal RNA is filed under the name uncultured bacterium. Its description in RNAcentral is "partial 16S ribosomal RNA". It matches the Rfam family "Bacterial small subunit ribosomal RNA", at positions 15 to 239 of the family's 1533-position model. The record is from RNAcentral.